This is a long non-coding RNA of Dermacentor albipictus, 216 nucleotides long. RefSeq lists it as uncharacterized. Lineage: Eukaryota; Metazoa; Arthropoda; Arachnida; Ixodida; Ixodidae. The record is from RefSeq and is a predicted model, not a curated record.
UCACUCGAGACAAGAAACAGCUGCUAAAUGGCGCAGCACAACUGUUUUCACGUUUGCUAACAGCAUUGUCCAGUGAUCAACACACUCAUACGCCCGCUGGUUCAGCAGUAGAUAUUCGGAUAUGAAAGGCAGCAUUGCCGCUUUAUUUCUUUUCCUGGUUUCCGCAGGGGAGUCAAGAACCUGCCCGGAAGGCCAAGUGUACACAAUGUGUCCGCG